UUAACACAUGCAAGUCGAGCGGGCGAGGUUGCUUCGGUAACUGAGCUAGCGGCGGACGGGUGAGUAAUGCUUAGGAAUCUGCCUAUUAGUGGGGGACAACAUUCCGAAAGGAAUGCUAAUACCGCAUACGCCCUACGGGGGAAAGCAGGGGAUCUUCGGACCUUGCGCUAAUAGAUGAGCCUAAGUCAGAUUAGCUAGUUGGUGGGGUAAAGGCCUACCAAGGCGACGAUCUGUAGCGGGUCUGAGAGGAUGAUCCGCCACACUGGGACUGAGACACGGCCCAGACUCCUACGGGAGGCAGCAGUGGGGAAUAUUGGACAAUGGGCGCAAGCCUGAUCCAGCCAUGCCGCGUGUGUGAAGAAGGCCUUUUGGUUGUAAAGCACUUUAAGCGAGGAGGAGGCUACUUGGAUUAAUACUCUAGGAUAGUGGACGUUACUCGCAGAAUAAGCACCGGCUAACUCUGUGCCAGCAGCCGCGGUAAUACAGAGGGUGCGAGCGUUAAUCGGAUUUACUGGGCGUAAAGCGUGCGUAGGCGGCUUCUUAAGUCGGAUGUGAAAUCCCUGAGCUUAACUUAGGAAUUGCAUUCGAUACUGGGAAGCUAGAGUAUGGGAGAGGAUGGUAGAAUUCCAGGUGUAGCGG
Molecule: ribosomal RNA, 639 nt
Filed under: uncultured Pseudomonadota bacterium
Lineage: Bacteria; Pseudomonadati; Pseudomonadota
Description: bacterial SSU rRNA
Rfam family: Bacterial small subunit ribosomal RNA
Source: RNAcentral